RNAcentral lists this ribosomal RNA (727 nucleotides) under uncultured bacterium. RNAcentral's name for it is "bacterial SSU rRNA". It matches the Rfam family "Bacterial small subunit ribosomal RNA", at positions 50 to 794 of the family's 1533-position model. The record is from RNAcentral.
UACACAUGCAAGUUCGAACGAUGAAGCCCUUCGGGGUGGAUUAGUGGCGAACGGGUGAGUAACACGUGGGCAAUCUGCCCUUCACUCUGGGACAAGCCCUGGAAACGGGGUCUAAUACCGGAUAACACUCCUGCCCGCAUGGGUGGGGGUUGAAAGCUCCGGCGGUGAAGGAUGAGCCCGCGGCCUAUCAGCUUGUUGGUGAGGUAGAAGCUCACCAAGGCGACGACGGGUAGCCGGCCUGAGAGGGCGACCGGCCACACUGGGACUGAGACACGGCCCAGACUCCUACGGGAGGCAGCAGUGGGGAAUAUUGCACAAUGGGCGAAAGCCUGAUGCAGCGACGCCGCGUGAGGGAUGACGGCCUUCGGGUUGUAAACCUCUUUCAGCAGGGAAGAAGCGAAAGUGACGGUACCUGCAGAAGAAGCGCCGGCUAACUACGUGCCAGCAGCCGCGGUAAUACGUAGGGCGCAAGCGUUGUCCGGAAUUAUUGGGCGUAAAGAGCUCGUAGGCGGUCUGUCACGUCGGAUGUGAAAGCCCGGGGCUUAACCCCGGGUCUGCAUUCGAUACGGGCAGACUAGAGUGUGGUAGGGGAGAUCGGAAUUCCUGGUGUAGCGGUGAAAUGCGCAGAUAUCAGGAGGAACACCGGUGGCGAAGGCGGAUCUCUGGGCCAUUACUGACGCUGAGGAGCGAAAGCGUGGGAGCGAACAGGAUUAGAUACCCUGGUAGU